UAGGGAAUCUUCGGCAAUGGACGAAAGUCUGACCGAGCAACGCCGCGUGAGUGAAGAAGGUUUUCGGAUCGUAAAACUCUGUUGUUAGAGAAGAACAAGGACGUUAGUAACUGAACGUCCCCUGACGGUAUCUAACCAGAAAGCCACGGCUAACUACGUGCCAGCAGCCGCGGUAAUACGUAGGUGGCAAGCGUUGUCCGGAUUUAUUGGGCGUAAAGCGAGCGCAGGCGGUUUCUUAAGUCUGAUGUGAAAGCCCCCGGCUCAACCGGGGAGGGUCAUUGGACACUGGGAGACUUGAGUGCAGAAGAGGGGAGUGGAAUUCCAUGUGUAGCGGUGAAAUGCGUAGAUAUAUGGAGGAACACCAGUGGCGAAGGCGGCUCUCUGGUCUGUAACUGACGCUGAGGCUCGAAAGCGUGGGGAGCAAACAGG
Molecule: ribosomal RNA, 429 nt
Filed under: Gemmatimonadota bacterium
Lineage: Bacteria; Pseudomonadati; Gemmatimonadota
Description: Gemmatimonadetes bacterium partial 16S ribosomal RNA
Rfam family: Bacterial small subunit ribosomal RNA
Source: RNAcentral